This 461-nucleotide ribosomal RNA is filed under the name uncultured bacterium. RNAcentral describes it as "bacterial SSU rRNA". It matches the Rfam family "Bacterial small subunit ribosomal RNA", at positions 28 to 507 of the family's 1533-position model. The record is from RNAcentral.
GACGAACGCUGGCGGCGUGCCUAACACAUGCAAGUCGAACGGAGUAAUUUCUUCGGAGGUUACUUAGUGGCGAACGGGUGAGUAACGCGUGAGAAACCUGCCUUUCAGUGGGGGACAACAGUUGGAAACGACUGCUAAUACCGCAUAAUGUUAUUUGGGGGCAUCCCCGAAUAACCAAAGCUUUAUGUGCUGAAAGAUGGUCUCGCGUCUGAUUAGCUAGAUGGCGGGGUAACGGCCCACCAUGGCGACGAUCAGUAGCCGGUCUGAGAGGAUGAACGGCCACAUUGGGACUGAGAUACGGCCCAGACUCCUACGGGAGGCAGCAGUGGGGAAUAUUGGACAAUGGGGGAAACCCUGAUCCAGCGACGCCGCGUGAGUGAAGAAGUAUUUCGGUAUGUAAAGCUCUAUCAGCAGGGAAGAUAAUGACGGUACCUGACUAAGAAGCACCGGCUAAAUACGUG